GACGAACGCUGGCGGCGUGCUUAACACAUGCAAGUCGAGCGGUAAGGCCCUUUCGGGGUACGACGAGCGGCGAACGGGUGAGUAACACGUGGGUGACCUGCCCUCAGCUCUGGGAUAAGCCUGGGAAACCGGGUCUAAUACCGGAUAUGACUCCAUGACGCAUGUUGUGGGGUGGAAAGCCUUGUGCGGCUGAGGAUGGGCCCGCGGCCUAUCAGCUUGUUGGUGGGGUGAUGGCCUACCAAGGCGACGACGGGUAGCCGGCCUGAGAGGGCGACCGGCCACACUGGGGACUGAGACACGGCCCAGACUCCUACGGGAGGCAGCAGGUGGGGAAUCUUGCGCAAUGGGCGAAAGCCUGACGCAGCGACGCCGCGUGAGGGAUGA
Molecule: ribosomal RNA, 384 nt
Filed under: uncultured bacterium
Lineage: Bacteria
Description: bacterial SSU rRNA
Rfam family: Bacterial small subunit ribosomal RNA
Source: RNAcentral